GUCGAACGAGAAAGCGGCUUCGGCCCCAGUAAAGCGGCGCACGGGUGAGUAACACGUAGGUCAUCUCCCCUCGAGUGGUGGAUAACUCUCCGAAAGGAGAGCUAAUACAGCAUAAGACCACGACUUCGCCGAAGUUGUGGCCAAAGCAGACCUCUUCACGAAAGUUUGCGCUUGAGGAUGAGCCUGCGGCCCAUCAGCUAGUUGGUAGGGUAAUGGCCUACCAAGGCUAAGACGGGUAGCUGGUCUGAGAGGAUGAACAGCCACACUGGAACUGAGACACGGUCCAGACUCCUACGGGAGGCAGCAGUGGGGAAUCUUGCGCAAUGGGCGAAAGCCUGACGCAGCGACGCCGCGUGAGCGAUGAAGGCCUUCGGGUUGUAAAGCUCUGUGGGGAGGGAAGAAUAAGGCUUGGCUAAUAUCCAAGUUGAUGACGGUACCUCCUUAGCAANNNCCGGCUAACUCUGU
Molecule: ribosomal RNA, 465 nt
Filed under: uncultured soil bacterium
Lineage: Bacteria
Description: bacterial SSU rRNA
Rfam family: Bacterial small subunit ribosomal RNA
Source: RNAcentral